CAUCUACUUACUGAAGGAAUGCUAGCAGUCGUGAAGUAUAAAUUUAAUCAAAAUCGGUGUCUUUAGGUUUUCUGACACACUGAGUUUAAUUUCGGGGAUUGUCGAACGCGAAGCAAAUCACAUGCAGAUUAGAGAUUUACGAAAGGUUUACCUACUAUACUACUGGUCUCCGUCAUGGCCAGCCGGUUACGUAGUGACUUGUGUGGAUUACAAUGCCAGCUUUGAAUUAAAUUUAAGACGGCUUUCUAGAAGUACAGUCAGAGUCAUAGAAGGCCCUCUAUGACUCUGGUACAGUCUUUAUAAUAACUUGUAAGCCCCCGCCCCAACAGCUUAUUUUGUGAUUUUGGAAAUUGAAAUAGAAUCAAUUGCUCACCAACUUCUACGCCACAAGUCAUCUUAUCGGACUUUUAAAGACUGGAACACUGCAUUGCAGAGAUUCUGAAACAGCUUUAUGUUAGAAUCAAAGGUUGCUAUUUGCCCCCGUAUCUACUCGUUUACUGGUAAUAGUUUCCGAAAUGAAUGCAUAUUCAGACACGCCAUUUGGUCAUUGCAAAACUCAUCUCGAAUGCCAAUUCCAGCUGUGGCGGAGUAACUGACGUCCCUUUAAGAUCGUUGGUCAAAUUCGUCGUUGCAUAACACUUAAAUUUCUUUCGCAACCAAUUCCUAUUGCUGGUCACCGUGCAUCAAUCUGUCAACUUUGAUCAACAAUU
Long non-coding RNA from Daphnia magna, 710 nucleotides. RefSeq lists it as uncharacterized. The transcript has 2 exons. NCBI's taxonomy places the organism in Eukaryota, Metazoa, Arthropoda, Branchiopoda, Diplostraca, Daphniidae. The record is from RefSeq and is a predicted model, not a curated record.